AACUAAACGGCAAUAAUUCAAAUGAUAAAAAAAAAUAACCGUGUUAAAAUAUAUUAUAUUUUCUUAAAUAGUACACAUUUUUACGAUACAUUUAUAAUGACAAAAAACCAACUAGUUCAUAUGACGACAACGAUAAUUAUUGUAUGAUGGUAGUUGUCUGAAGUCAUAAAAAGCUUAUCGGUAUGCUUAUUCAUUAGAGCGGUUCGAUUCCUGAAACUAUCUCUAGUCUGAUUAAGUGUGGUAACAGUUAUAAGAUGAGUCAAAGAUGAUGGUUGAACAGUUCUCCAUUGACACUAACUGGAAGAAAAGAUUGUUUUAUUAUUUGUCUAAAUAGACUAGCUAGAAUGUGACCAGAGGAAGAUUAAAUGGACAUAUCAUAUAUUUCUCCAUAGACACUGUAGUAAUCCAUAGACUGACUUUUGACACUAUAUUUGAAUAUUUGUUGUUGACGUUAAUUGGAUUUUGUGCAAAACCCCUGGAAGAAUAUUCUGUAUCAGACUAACAGUAUAAACGCCACCCAGUAAUUCUGUUUACCUGCUGUUAGACAUUGUAGUAUCAUCUCCAAUCUCUUUAUAUAUUGUUUAAUUUUAUUUAAAAAAGUCUUAUUAUAAUUUAUUAUUAAUCAAGUGUAAUUCAGUUGAUUAUUUAUUGAAUAACUUAUUAUCCUGUCUUCAAUGUCCAUAUAAACUGUACUGUAUUUAUGACCACUACACUGAUAUCUCAUUUGGCUAAAUAUUUUUAAUUUUCAACUACAUUAAAACAAAAUUA
Long non-coding RNA from Adelges cooleyi (spruce gall adelgid), 768 nucleotides. RefSeq lists it as uncharacterized. The transcript has 4 exons. Lineage: Eukaryota; Metazoa; Arthropoda; Insecta; Hemiptera; Adelgidae. The record is from RefSeq and is a predicted model, not a curated record.